Molecule: ribosomal RNA, 515 nt
Filed under: uncultured bacterium
Lineage: Bacteria
Description: bacterial SSU rRNA
Rfam family: Bacterial small subunit ribosomal RNA
Source: RNAcentral
UAGAGAUAGAGCUUUCCCCUUCGGGGGACAAAGUGACAGGUGGUGCAUGGUUGUCGUCAGCUCGUGUCGUGAGAUGUUGGGUUAAGUCCCGCAACGAGCGCAACCCUUAAGCUUAGUUGCCAUCAUUAAGUUGGGCACUCUAGGUUGACUGCCGGUGACAAACCGGAGGAAGGUGGGGAUGACGUCAAAUCAUCAUGCCCCUUAUGAUUUGGGCUACACACGUGCUACAAUGGACAAUACAAAGGGCAGCUAAACCGCGAGGUCAUGCAAAUCCCAUAAAGUUGUUCUCAGUUCGGAUUGUAGUCUGCAACUCGACUACAUGAAGCUGGAAUCGCUAGUAAUCGUAGAUCAGCAUGCUACGGUGAAUACGUUCCCGGGUCUUGUACACACCGCCCGUCACACCACGAGAGUUUGUAACACCCGAAGCCGGUGGAGUAACCAUUUAUGGAGCUAGCCGUCGAAGGUGGGACAAAUGAUUGGGGUGAAGUCGUAACAAGGUAGCCGUAUCGGAAGGU